GGCGGACGGGUGAGUAACACGUGGAUAACCUACCUAUAAGACUGGGAUAACUUCGGGAAACCGGAGCUAAUACCGGAUAACAUAUUGAACCGCAAGGUUCAAUAGUGAAAGGCGGCUUUGCUGUCACUUAUAGAUGGAUCCGCGCCGUAUUAGCUAGUUGGUAAGGUAACGGCUUACCAAGGCAACGAUACGUAGCCGACCUGAGAGGGUGAUCGGCCACACUGGAACUGAGACACGGUCCAGACUCCUACGGGAGGCAGCAGUAGGGAAUCUUCCGCAAUGGGCGAAAGCCUGACGGAGCAACGCCGCGUGAGUGAUGAAGGUCUUCGGAUCGUAAAACUCUGUUAUCAGGGAAGAACAAAUGUGUAAGUAACUGUGCACAUCUUGACGGUACCUGAUCAGAAAGCCACGGCUAACUACGUGCC
RNAcentral lists this ribosomal RNA (425 nucleotides) under Staphylococcus warneri. RNAcentral describes it as "bacterial SSU rRNA". It matches the Rfam family "Bacterial small subunit ribosomal RNA", at positions 97 to 509 of the family's 1533-position model. The record is from RNAcentral. Lineage: Bacteria; Bacillati; Bacillota; Bacilli; Caryophanales; Staphylococcaceae.